CAAAGGCAUGGUCCCGACCUUUUUAUCAGCUGUAGCUUAAAUUAUACAUGCAAGUCUCCGCAGCCCUGUGAAUAUGCCCUCAACCCCCCUCCCGGGAACGAGGAGCAGGCAUCAGGCACAAGUAUUUAGCCCAAGACGCCUAGCCAAGCCACACCCCCAAGGGAAUUCAGCAGUGAUAGACAUUAAGCCAUAAGUGAAAACUUGACUUAGUCAAAGCUAAAUUAGGGUCGGUAAAACUCGUGCCAGCCACCGCGGUUAGACGAGAGACCCUAGUUGAUAUGAAUAACGGCGUAAAGGGUGGUUAAGAGUAAAGUAAAAUAAAGCCAAAUGGCCCCUUGGCUGUCAUACGCUUCUAGGCGUCCGAAGCCCCCAUACGAAAGUAGCUUUAAUCAACCUGCCCGACCCCACGAAAGCUAAGAAACAAACUGGGAUUAGAUACCCCACUAUGCUUAGCCAUAAACUUAGACAUCCAAUUACAAUAAAAUGUCCGCCAGGGUACUACGAGCACCAGCUUAAAACCCAAAGGACCUGACGGUGUCUCAGACCCCCCUAGAGGAGCCUGUUCUAGAACCGAUAACCCCCGUUCAACCUCACCACUUCUAGCCGUCCCAGCCUAUAUACCGCCGUCGUCAGCUUACCCUGUGAAGGUAAUAAAAAUAAGCAAAAUGAGUAUAACCCAGAACGUCAGGUCGAGGUGUAGCGCAUGCUGUGGAAAGAAAUGGGCUACAUUUUCUACUAUAGAAUAUUACGAAUAUACACUAUGAAAUAGUGCUUGAAGGAGGAUUUAGCAGUAAAAGGAAAAAAGAAUGUUCCUUUGAAUCCGGCUCUGAGACGCGUACACACCGCCCGUCACUCUCCCCAAUAAACACACUAAAAAUAACUAAUACUACAAUAUUAAUAAGGGGAGACAAGUCGUAACACGGUAAGUGUAUCGGAAGAUGCACUUGAACAAACC
This 955-nucleotide non-coding RNA is filed under the name Enteromius fasciolatus (African banded barb). RNAcentral's name for it is "12S rRNA". It matches the Rfam family "Bacterial small subunit ribosomal RNA". The record is from RNAcentral. Lineage: Eukaryota; Metazoa; Chordata; Actinopteri; Cypriniformes; Cyprinidae.